CGACUCCCGUCCCGUACGCCUCCCACACCGAGCGCCGUCUCCGCUUCUCCUAUACCGAGCGGCCGCAAUCCCCCUCCAGAUCCAGCCCUCCGCCGGCGCCGUCCAUCCAUCAGCCUCGCCCUUCUCCUCCGCGCCGUCAUUCGCUGUCGAGGCCGCCGCCUUCCCCAAUCCUAGACCUAUUGGCCCGGAUAGGGGAUCUCGCCGCCAUCGUCGUAUCUCGCCGUCGCCGCAACCUACAAGCCACGGAAUCUGAAAUUAUUUGUAUACAUGUGCAUUCUCAUGCUGUUGGAGAUGCAUGUGUGUGGCGGCGGCUGCCUGUGGGUGGCACAUGCAUGUGGCGUCGUGGUCAGUAGAGCGUCAACCCCCGCGGAGGCUAUGAGUGGCGUAGGUGUGCGGCGCGGCGGCGAGUGGAGGCGCAGGUGGCUCAAGGCCAAAAGCGAGUACUAUUACUGCAUAUACAUGUUUUGGAGAGCGAUAUGCGUUUAAAAUGCUGCAAUGCGAAACUGUGCCACUUUGCCCACGCCUCUUUCCGCACUGAGUCGAUGCCGGUAGCACAACCGACGAGGUAAAUUUUUUUUUCUUUGCAAACUCCUGUUCUUCCCAACUUCUGGAAGCCUGUUCCUAUUCUAUUUCAGCGAAUAACAAUGAUAUUUCACUAGGAUUAUACUGCAGGGUUAUGCAUGUUACUAGCCAAUCUUAAAUAUAUCAAACUUUAUUGACUGAGCUGAGUGAUUAGGUGUCAAGUUGCAGUUUAUAUAUCAAACAUCGGAUGAGUGAACAAGAAAUUCGACAGGUUGAUAGAUAUAAAUGGGCAAAUGAUCGGGAAGAUUAAGAUUGCAUAUACACAAUGAUUUUCACUUCAUUUUUGCUUCUAUUCUGCAAACCAUGGAUAUGCUCUCUGUUUUGGUAAUCGUCCAAUAACUAGCAAUAACAUGCUCUGAAUUGUGAUGAUUGUGAACUAAUCCUAGCGACCAACUUGAUGAUGUUAUAGUCAGGAUUGUAAUUACUGUUUCUAGGGUUCUACAUAAAUUGGCUUGCUAGGGUUGGAUGAAUAAUGAAUGAAUGAAUGCUGAUGCAAGUGCAGUACUGGAACUAGAAAAGCUAAUAUAAAUCAUACUAACAUAAUUAAGUCCUUGUAUAUGCUUGCAUGAUGAAAUAACUGAAUUUGGCACAUCAGCAGGAUCAUAUUCUAAAAUAAAUCAUAUUGAAUGAUGCAGUAAUUUACAUGGUUCUAUACUUUGAAAAUCAUGCCAAGAUAUGAACUAUAGAGAAUGGAAUUAUAACCCCAUGAAACCUGACCUUGAAUACAGAUAAUUUACUGCUACUGACUGUAUAUUGUGACUAAACUAUAGAGUUGUUGAUGCUGGAAAAAACUAAACUAUUGAUUAACUAACUAUUUUUACAGUAAAUGAUUUGGUAGAAAAAAACUUAUAUGUUCUGUUAAGUUAUUAAAAUUUAGUAGAACUAUGACUAUUUAUCACUAUGCAUACUUAGAUGUACUUAAAAUUCAUCCUAUGGUUUCUUUUCUGAGUUUUGUAGUAAAGAACUAGAUACAUAUACAAACUUAACCCAGAUUCAUAACCUACUGGUUUCACAUGCUAUUCUACAAUUCAAAUGAUUAAUAAUUUAGGAUGGUUCCUCUAUUAAAUCUGGGUUGAUUUUCAAUAUUUUUAAAUGAAAUUAGAUUCAUAUACACAUACCCUAACCUUCCAAGAAUAUGCACAGCUCAGAUUUUACUUUGUUUGUAUGACCAAAAUCUGAAAGUUCUAUAUUUUUUUAAGUGCACAUGCAUUUGUAUAAAAUUCAUGUUUUUCUUUACUAAUUUUCCGUUCCUGGUUAUAUAUGCAGUUACAUUGUGAGUUUUUGACUGUGUACAUGGGCAUAGGUAGCUUACUUUUUGACUGUAUCUCCUUGUGGAUACAGUUUCUUUUUUUAGAUCAAUUUGGAAUCCCUCUGAUUAAUUUAUAUUUUCAGAAAAGAAGUUUCAGUAUAAACCUAAGAUAAACUUGAGAAUCUUCAGUUUCUCAAGUUCUGCUGACAGUUCCUUACAACUGAUUGGUUCUGCUUGAUUUCAGUUUUCAUCCUAGCAAUUGCAGUUUAGCAUUUCUUGUAAUCAUGUAGUUUCUGUCCAGUUUCCAGUGGAACAUUAGGUACCGAAUUACCACUUGAGUGGUGAUCAUCUGAACUAAAAGCCAGCAUUUGAGUUCAUGCUAUUAGCCUAAAAUUACAGAAAUUUUGUUUCGGUCAUUAUUUUGAUAUGAGUUUUCCCUGCUCAUGCUAAACUCACUUCUACCAAACUAUUUGAUGUUUCUAGCAAGAGAGUCAAAUCAGUGAUGUUUUCAAUUUUAGAAUCAAGAAACAUGAAUAUUGAUAUAUGCAUGCAGGUCUUCAGCGAGUGUCAAGUGUUGUGUGAUGAUAUAGUAGGGGACAUGCACUGUGAGUAGUAUUUAUAUAGAGCACAUUUGAUCAUUGAUUUGCUCCAUGUGAAAGGAGCUUCAGAAUUCAGAUUAGAUCAGGGAUCAAUAUGUUUUGCUGAACUUUCUAUGUUAUUUGAUUGCAAAUUUCAGUUUGUCAAACCACUUUGUCAUGUUUUUUCCAUGCUGCACAUGCAUUUGCUAAUAACUAUGGAGUAGUAUUUUUAAUAUAACUGAUCACUGAUUAUAGAUGUUCAUCUAAUUUAUUUUAUACCACAGUAUGCUUUGUUUUUUCCCUUGCAUCUUCAAUUUUGCAAACUCCAACUCGUGAUAGGUUACUAACCUGCAGACCUCAGCUAAAAAUAAAUGUUCUGAAUAUUCAGGUAGCUUAAAUGGGAGAUCUAAAUAAUUUAUAUGAUUUGCGUUUUCCUGUGCAUAACGUCAUUAGUAAGGUUUGUGAUCUUUCAUAGUGAUGGGAAUAUAGUAAACCUGCAUAUAAUGUAGAGCUUUUCCUGUAACAAUUACUGUACAAAGCAAAUACUGCUUUAUGUUAGAUAAAUAAAUAGCCCUUGCUUUCUCCAUUUAUAUUAUACUGAACCUUUGUUGCUCUUGCGUGUGUUUCUUUUUUUGGAAGAACGGCUCUUUGUGGAUGUUUUGUUCAAAAGCAGAAGUACUUGCCACCCCUACCUUGCUUAUGUUGGUUGAUAAGUAUGUUGAAUUCAAGUUUUAAUGAAAAUUUGUAUCUUGUUAUUGUUUAAAUAGUUGGUGAUUAAACUGUCCUAAUUUCUUUAUUCAUUUUCCUUUUAUUUUGGAUAUGGAUAUAUUUUUUUUACCUGCAACCUCUUUUCUGGAAUUAUAUAGAAAACAACUCUUUUCUUCUCUUUCAAAAGUAUUUAGGACGUAACACAACUGAGAAUCUCCAGUUUUUCAGGAUAAAAUUGGCAAGUAGUCCUUUUGGCAAAGACUAUAGUAAUCAGGAGGUCAUAAAUCUAGGUUCACUAAACCCAAAGGCUUCUAUAGCACUGGGAUGCCUGGUGCUAGUGGUUAUUUGGGCAGCUAUGGGGGUGAUGGUGGGUAUGGCAUUACUCCACCGGGAGGCCAGGAAGAAAAUGAUUCAUGGUCAUUAGAUAAGAUCUAGUAGGUGAUUGUGUCCCAACAUCCCAUUAUAUCAUACCAUGCCAUCUUGUGCUAUUUUCUUUAAUCCUAGAAUUUAUUUUGCCAAAAUUCAUGAGGAUAUUGCUGGAUCAAUAGAAACAAUUGGCUGUAAGAGUGAAUGAUGGUUUGAUUCCUUAAAUACUUUUAAUAUACAUGCGUUGCACCAAUUUCGGUUGUGGAAUA
This is a non-coding RNA of Oryza sativa Japonica Group (Japanese rice), 3752 nucleotides long. The record is from RefSeq and is a predicted model, not a curated record. Lineage: Eukaryota; Viridiplantae; Streptophyta; Magnoliopsida; Poales; Poaceae.